RNAcentral lists this ribosomal RNA (253 nucleotides) under uncultured bacterium. Its description in RNAcentral is "partial 16S ribosomal RNA". It matches the Rfam family "Bacterial small subunit ribosomal RNA", at positions 524 to 776 of the family's 1533-position model. The record is from RNAcentral.
UACGAAGGGGGCUAGCGUUGUUCGGAAUUACUGGGCGUAAAGCGCGCGCAGGCGGCUAUCCAAGUCAGUGGUGAAAGCCCGGAGCUCAACUCCGGAACUGCCAUUGAAACUGUUUAGCUUGAGGACGAGAGAGGUGAGUGGAAUUCCCAGUGUAGAGGUGAAAUUCGUAGAUAUUCGCAAGAACACCAGUGGCGAAGGCGGCUCACUGGCCCGAUACUGACGCUGAGGUGCGAAAGCGUGGGGAGCAAACAGG